UCCUGGGGAUGCUUCAGUUUGAUUCCU
This 27-nucleotide non-coding RNA is filed under the name Mus musculus (house mouse). Lineage: Eukaryota; Metazoa; Chordata; Mammalia; Rodentia; Muridae. The record is from RNAcentral.